AUCCAGAUAAAGAAUCCUAAAAUAGGACGAAAUGCGCAUCCUGAAU
Molecule: non-coding RNA, 46 nt
Filed under: Schistosoma mattheei
Lineage: Eukaryota; Metazoa; Platyhelminthes; Trematoda; Strigeidida; Schistosomatidae
Source: RNAcentral